This is a long non-coding RNA of Pongo pygmaeus (Bornean orangutan), 504 nucleotides long. RefSeq lists it as uncharacterized. NCBI's taxonomy places the organism in Eukaryota, Metazoa, Chordata, Mammalia, Primates, Hominidae. The record is from RefSeq and is a predicted model, not a curated record. The transcript has 4 exons.
ACAGCCUCUGCUUUAGGCCCAGAAGGAAAAGAAGCUUACAGGAGACAAUCAGUCUUACACUCUUCCAUGGUCACAAACAAAAGGUCCCUGGAUCUACAGGUUAGCAUGAAAGUUUUGGAGAAAAUGAGUAGCUCUGAAGAGGUGGACAAAGCUAAAUUUCUGGCUUUCAAGAUGGACAGUCAGACCCUAGACAAAUGACUUACAAAUCACCCCACCUGGAAUUCCCAGCAUGCAUAUGAGGAAAUGAAAGAACCAGAGCAUUAUAGCAAAAUGAAUCCUGGAAUGGGAAUGCAAUGCCUGGAUUUGUGGCACAGUUGCGAAGUGUCCUGGCCAUGCCAUGUUAAAGUUGUCUCCAAGGCAGUGAUUCUUACCCUUGGCUACACAUUGGAGUCAUUUGGGAAGCUAGAAAAAAAAAAAAAAAGAAAAAGAAAAAAAUGCCCAGGACCUGGACAAGACAGCUGAAUAAGAACAGCUCUGGUCUGCAGCUCCCAGCAAGAUCAACGC